Non-coding RNA from Taeniopygia guttata (zebra finch), 317 nucleotides. NCBI's taxonomy places the organism in Eukaryota, Metazoa, Chordata, Aves, Passeriformes, Estrildidae. The record is from RefSeq and is a predicted model, not a curated record.
UCAGCUGCGGCAGCCCAAGCUCCUCUCGGCUUGGCUGCGUGACUUCCUGAGCUGCUGCCUGCAGAGAGACGAGGAGCGGCGCUGGUCUGCCGACGAGCUCCUGCAGCAUCCACUGGUAUCAGCCAAGCCAGCGUCUACCCUGGCAGCACUCAUUAUUUCAGUGAAGAGGAGGAAGGUGAAGCAAACACUGUGAUAAUCACAUCAGGACCAUUUCUUCCAUAACCAGCUAAGAAUAGGACUGAAGAGUAGUUUUGUAGAGUAGGAUUGUAGAGAAGGAUUAUAGAUUAGGAUUGAAAAUAAAGCUUCUGAAACUUUAA